Molecule: ribosomal RNA, 252 nt
Filed under: uncultured bacterium
Lineage: Bacteria
Description: partial 16S ribosomal RNA
Rfam family: Bacterial small subunit ribosomal RNA
Source: RNAcentral
UACAGAGGUCUCAAGCGUUGUUCGGAUUCAUUGGGCGUAAAGGGCGCGUAGGCUGCGGGGCAAGUCGGGUGUGAAAUCUCAGAGCUCAACUCUGAAACUGCACUCGAUACUGCUUUGCUUGGGACUGGAGAGGAGAUUGGAAUUCACGGUGUAGCAGUGAAAUGCGUAGAUAUCGUGAGGAAGACCAGUGGCGAAGGCGGAUCUCUGGACAGUUCCUGACGCUGAGGCGCGAAGGCCAGGGGAGCAAACGGG